This is a non-coding RNA of Phthorimaea operculella (potato tuberworm), 74 nucleotides long. The record is from the annotation of a GenBank genome assembly. NCBI's taxonomy places the organism in Eukaryota, Metazoa, Arthropoda, Insecta, Lepidoptera, Gelechiidae.
ACAGCGGUAUCCCAGUUGGUAGCCGUCGGCAGUACAGAUGCCGAAGGUUGCAGGUUCAAAUCCUGCCCGCGGUG